This is a long non-coding RNA of Oreochromis aureus, 2030 nucleotides long. The record is from Ensembl. Lineage: Eukaryota; Metazoa; Chordata; Actinopteri; Cichliformes; Cichlidae.
GAGUCAUGCUCCUGUUUACCAGGAUGCCAUUGCUGCGAUCCUCUGGUGUGACAAUCCUGUGUUCAGCUGUAGCAGACCACAGAGUCGACAACACAAAGUAAUGGAGGCAUCAUAUAGGUACAACUGUAGAGCAGAUAAAAGCGUGAGGGAUUUAAAGAUACCUAACUCAAAAUUUCGAGUUAUGGAUAUCAAAAAAAACUUUGUUCAGUGGCGGAAACACGUUUCAGUACCCCUCUGAUGCUAACAGUCACUUCUAAAAAGGAGACAGAAUUGAACAUGAUUUAUUGAUAUACAGAAUUCAGUUAUAGGAGUUAGAGCAGGACCCAGUGGAGUCUAGAUGCUGGUGGUGGAGAUGAAGAUGGAGGCUUGGAUGGAGCCUGAGUAACAAGUAAGGUAAGGUGGAGAUGGGGAGGAGGUGGGUUGCAUGAAGGCAUCUGCAAGGGAGAAUGACAGAUGCAGUGAGACUUAAAGUAUGCAGAGUGGAGGCUGAUUGGACUUGAGAACGCAGGCAGAAAGAUGAUUGGACUAGACCAGUGAUGUCCACAGUGAGCUCGACAGAGUGGGAAAGUGAUGUAAAACUUAAAUUAGCCACCAAAAACCGUGAAAGCAGACAGAUGUGUGACCACAGAUCUUCCUUAUUGAACUUAAGCAUCAGUUGUCUAUUUUUUUGCUGGAUAACAAUUAUUGUAUAAUUAUUUUAUCUCUUGUAUGUCUUCAAGUAAGCGCCUAGUUAAUAAUGUUAACUUCUGAAAAUAGUUCUUCACGGGGGCAUUAUGGGUCAUUAUGUUGGACAAAAUGAUGACUCAGACCCAGUUAUCCUGCUCACUGCUUGGGGUUUUCUUUCAAAAUCUUCACAUAGCCUUCUUCUUCAUGAUUCCUUGCACCUUGAUGAGAUUAUGCUCCCUCUUCUCAGGAAAACAGAGGGAGAGAGAGAGAAAGGGAAGAUAGCGGGAAAGGGCCACGGGUUGGAAUCAAACCUAAGUCUGCUGCUCUCUGCAAGGCGGCAUAUGGUCAUGUGCUCAUCCCAGUGAGCUAAACCAGCAGCCAAGUGAAGUAGUUCUUGGCCUGCAACCUCGCACUCCAUUCCUCUGCAAGAUCCAUUAAAGGGUCGGCUAUCUGUGUGGCGUCCAGGCAGUCAUCGAAGCUGCCAGCUGUGGGAUCUCGCCUCUAAUCCCCCAUAAAGACUGACUGGCAACACAAACAGCUGCUGACCUGAUCUCCUCUGCCCUGUCCUGUUGCUGAAAAUGUUCCAAACUGGAAAGCCAGAAAGGACAGACAGGGUUGGACAUGCUGGAGUCCUCUUUCAUACUUCAUUUUUAUGUUUUUUACUUAAUUUUUUUACUCACUAAACUCAUUUUGUGUUGUCCUUUGUAGUUCAAAAAGUAACAUUAUAUCAGCCUGACAAUAACCGCUUCAGCCUCUCUGUGUAGUUGUUUUGGUUAUAUUUUAUUCCAUGACUAUAUCUUCUGUGCAUGGCUCAGAUCUGUUCUUGUAAAAGCAAGCCUUUAUCUCCCCACCUGCUAUCAGGCGGAGAAUGCUACUGAUAGUGUGGACAGUACACAGGCUCUAACACAGUUAGUCCAGCCCGCCCAUGCAGUGGAAAGCAGCGGGGUCAGGCAAGGUAGCAAAUAAAAGGUCUAUUAUUAAUCUAUCACACCCGCAGUUAAUAAAGUGCACACAUGCUUAAUACAUAAACAAUGACAGGACAAAGGUGAGCGCUACUUUCUAUUGAUAGGCUACUUUAAACUUAGUAUAGUAGUAACUAAAAAAGUAUGCUUGACUCAAAGGGCUCUGUAUGGUUUUGAUCCAGUUGUUCUCUUAGAGGAAAGGUUCACUUCAGAGCAGUAAAUAAAUGUUCUGAGUGAUAGCAUCAUUCAUGAGGGGUCACUAAAGGAUUUAAUGAAUAUGAUGAUGUGAGUAUGUCCUGUCUGUUAACACUGUUAACAAAUGGUAAAUUAAUAGUGAAAUAAAUUGUAAUAAACAGUUGUUUUACUGUUAAUAAACAAUUAAAUUAUAUUAUACACUCACCU